ACACGGGAAUCUUACCGGGUCCGGACAUACCGAGGAUUGACAGACUGUUAACUGCAACACAAGCUGCUAAGUUUUAAACUUAAUAGCUCUUUCAUGAUUAUAUGAUAGGUGGUGCAUGGCCGUUCUUAGUUCGUGGAGUGAUCUGUCUGCUUAAUUGCGUUUCAAAAUUUAAACCUGAGCGACAAGGUGCUGCUAUCGAAACUGUCUUUGAGUGUGAACUAUAAGUCUUUUGACUUAUGACCAUCACUCUAGACGUUUAUGUUUUGGUGUUGGCCCUUGAUGCUCAUUUGAACGCAACGGACGUGAUUGCAACCCCUUGUUGAGAUUUAUCCGAUCUCUACGUUCACUGAACCACACUCUUUAGCGAGAGCAGUGGGGAUGUGGAUAAACUCGGGGGACUGCUGACUAUAAACUUUUCUCAAACCAGAGGAAGGUUGCGGCAAUAACAGGUCUGUGAUGCCCUCAGA
RNAcentral lists this ribosomal RNA (467 nucleotides) under Globigerinoides elongatus. RNAcentral's name for it is "SSU rRNA". It matches the Rfam family "Eukaryotic small subunit ribosomal RNA", at positions 1203 to 1477 of the family's 1831-position model. The record is from RNAcentral. Lineage: Eukaryota; Foraminifera; Rotaliida; Globigerinidae.